This 301-nucleotide ribosomal RNA is filed under the name uncultured bacterium. RNAcentral's name for it is "partial 16S ribosomal RNA". It matches the Rfam family "Bacterial small subunit ribosomal RNA", at positions 509 to 807 of the family's 1533-position model. The record is from RNAcentral.
CAGCCGCCGCGGUAACACAGAGGAUGCAAGCGUUAUCCGGAAUGAUUGGGCGUAAAGCGUGCGCAGGCGGUUUGUUAAGACAGAUGUGAAAUCCCCGGGCUCAACCUGGGAACUGCAUUUGUGACUGGCAGGCUAGAGUAUGGCAGAGGGGGGUGGAAUUCCGCGUGUAGCAGUGAAAUGCGUAGAUAUUCGGAAGAACACCAGUGGCGAAGGCGACUCGCUGGACAAGUAUUGACGCUGAGGUGCGAAAGCGUGGGGAGCAAACAGGAUUAGAUACCCGAGUAGUCCCUGUCUCUUAUAC